This 421-nucleotide ribosomal RNA is filed under the name uncultured bacterium. Its description in RNAcentral is "bacterial SSU rRNA". It matches the Rfam family "Bacterial small subunit ribosomal RNA", at positions 358 to 772 of the family's 1533-position model. The record is from RNAcentral.
GGAAUCUUGCGCAAUGGACGAAAGUCUGACGCAGCGACGCCGCGUGAGCGAUGAAGGCCUUCGGGUCGUAAAGCUCUGUGGGGAGAGACGAAUAAGGUAUGGCUAACAUCCAUGCCGAUGACGGUAUCUCCUUAGCAAGCACCGGCUAACUCCGUGCCAGCAGCCGCGGUAAGACAGAGGGUGCAAACGCUGCUCGCAAUUACUGGGCGUAAAGCGCGCGUAGGCAGCAGCGUGUGUCGGGCGUGAAAUCCCACGGCUCAACCGUGGAAGUGCACUCGAAACUGCGCAGCUAGAGUCUCGGAGAGGAAGGCGGAAUGCUUGGUGUAGAGGUGAAAUUCGUAGAUAUCAAGCGGAACACCGGUGGCGAAGGCGGCCUUCUGGACGAUGACUGACGCUGAAGCGCGAAAGCGUGGGGAGCAAA